This 86-nucleotide transfer RNA is filed under the name Planctomycetaceae bacterium. Its description in RNAcentral is "tRNA-Tyr". It matches the Rfam family "tRNA". Rfam says of the family: Transfer RNA (tRNA) molecules are approximately 80 nucleotides in length. Their secondary structure includes four short double-helical elements and three loops (D, anti-codon, and T loops). Lineage: Bacteria; Pseudomonadati; Planctomycetota; Planctomycetia; Planctomycetales; Planctomycetaceae. RNAcentral also lists the same sequence under 1 other name. The record is from RNAcentral.
GGGCAGUUACCGAAGCGGCCAAACGGGUCAGACUGUAAAUCUGAUGGCUUACGCCUUCCGUGGUUCAAAUCCACGACUGCCCACCA